RNAcentral lists this ribosomal RNA (1175 nucleotides) under uncultured euryarchaeote. RNAcentral's name for it is "bacterial SSU rRNA". It matches the Rfam family "Archaeal small subunit ribosomal RNA", at positions 110 to 1293 of the family's 1478-position model. Lineage: Archaea; Methanobacteriati; Methanobacteriota. The record is from RNAcentral.
ACUACUAUGGAGAGGGAUAUCCGGGAAACUGGGGCUAAUACUCAUAGACUAUGAAUGCUGGAAUGCUUCGUAGUUCAAAGGUCCGCCGCCAUAGGAUGGGUCUGCGGCCGAUUAGGUAGUUGUUGGGGUAACGGCCCAACAAGCCUGUAAUCGGUACGGGUUGUGGGAGCAAGAGCCCGGAGAUGGAUUCUGAGACACGAAUCCAGGCCCUACGGGGCGCAGCAGGCGCGAAAACUUUACAAUGCGGGAAACCGUGAUAAGGGAACUCCGAGUGCCCGUUAAAUCGGGCUGUCCAUCAGUUUAAAAAACUGGUGAAGAAAGGGCCGGGCAAGACCGGUGCCAGCCGCCGCGGUAAUACCGGCGGCUCGAGUGGUGGCCACUAUUACUGGGCUUAAAGCGUUCGUAGCUGGUUUGUUAAGUCUCUGGGGAAAUCUUCCGGCUUAACCGGAAGGCGUCUCAGGGAUACUGGCAGACUAGGGACCGGAAGAGGUGAGGGGUACUCCAGGGGUAGGAGUGAAUCCUGUAAUCCUUGGGGGACCACCUGUGGCGAAGGCGCCUCACCAGGACGGCUCCGACAGUGAGGGACGAAAGCUGGGGGAGCAAACCGGAUUAGAUACCCGGGUAGUCCCAGCCGUAAACGAUGUGCGUUAGGUGUAUCGGUGACCACGAGUCACCGAGGUGCCGAAGAGAAAUCGUGAAACGUACCGCCUGGGAAGUACGGUCGCAAGGCUGAAACUUAAAGGAAUUGGCGGGGGAGCACCACAACAGGUGGAGCCUGCGGUUUAAUCGGACUCAACGCCGGAGAACUCACCAGAUAAGACAGCUGAAUGAUAGUCGGGCUGAAGACUCUACUUGACUAGCUGAGAGGAGGUGCAUGGCCGUCGUCAGUUCGUACUGUGAAGCAUCCUGUUAAGUCAGGCAACGAGCGAGACCCACGCCAACAGUUGCUAGCUCGUCCCCCGGGAUGGAGAGGACACUGAUGGGACCGCCUCUGCUAAAGAGGAGGAAGGAAUGGGCAACGGUAGGUCAGCAUGCCCCGAAUUAUCUGGGCUACACGCGGGCUACAAUGGGUGGGACAAUGGGUAUCGACACCGAAAGGUGAAGGCAAUCUCCUAAACCCAUCCUUAGUUCGGGAUUGUGGGCUGCAACUCGCCCACAUGAAGCUGGAAUCUGUA